AGUCCCUGACCACCUCCUCUCCUCGGAGGGGGGACCGGGGCAACAGAACCCACGGCGCCGACGGCGUCAAGGAACACUAUGCCUAACCCGAGGGUGUGGCUGGCUUGCUAGCCACCCCUCGUGUUGCGAUGCUAUCUAAACCACACGACUCUCGGCAACGGAUAUCUCGGCUCUCGCAUCGAUGAAGAACGUAGCGAAAUGCGAUACCUGGUGUGAAUUGCAGAAUCCCGCGAACCAUCGAGUCUUUGAACGCAAGUUGCGCCCGAGGCCACCCGGCUGAGGGCACGCCUGCCUGGGCGUCACGCCAAUACACGCUCCCACCUCCCUCAAUGGGUAGUGGGAUGCGGAUUCUGGCCCUCCGUGCUGUGAGGCGCGGCAGGCCGAAGAUCGGGCUGCCGGCGUAUCGUGCCGGACACAGCGCGUGGUGGAGUUCUACUUAGCGCAGUUCCAGCACGUAGCCGGCGUAGCGGCCCCAAGGACCCAACGAACGGAGCGCAUGUCGCUCUGACCGCGACCCCAGGUCAGGCGGGACUACCCGCUGAGUUUAAGCAUAUAAAUAAGCGGAGGAGAAGAAACUUACAAGGAUUCCCCUAGUAACGGCGAGCGA
Molecule: ribosomal RNA, 607 nt
Filed under: Nassella pseudopampagrandensis
Lineage: Eukaryota; Viridiplantae; Streptophyta; Magnoliopsida; Poales; Poaceae
Description: eukaryotic LSU rRNA
Rfam family: 5.8S ribosomal RNA (bases 147-302)
Source: RNAcentral